Molecule: ribosomal RNA, 403 nt
Filed under: Verrucomicrobiota bacterium
Lineage: Bacteria; Pseudomonadati; Verrucomicrobiota
Description: Verrucomicrobia bacterium partial 16S ribosomal RNA
Rfam family: Bacterial small subunit ribosomal RNA
Source: RNAcentral
UGGGGAAUAUUGCACAAUGGGGGAAACCCUGAUGCAGCGACGCCGCGUGAGCGAAGAAGGCUUUCGAGUCGUAAAGCUCUGUCCUAUGAGAAGAUAAUGACGGUAUCAUAGGAGGAAGCCCUGGCUAAAUACGUGCCAGCAGCCGCGGUAAUACGUAUGGGGCGAGCGUUGUCCGGAAUUAUUGGGCGUAAAGGGUACGUAGGUGGUUUUUUAAGUCAGGUGUCAAAGCGUGGAGCUUAACUCCAUUAAGCACUUGAAACUGAAAGACUUGAGUGAAGGAGAGGAAAGUGGAAUUCCUAGUGUAGCGGUGAAAUGCGUAGAUAUUAGGAGCAAUACCGGUGGCGAAGGCGACUUUCUGGACUUUUACUGACGCUCAGGUACGAAAGCGUGGGGAGCAAACAGG